This 726-nucleotide ribosomal RNA is filed under the name uncultured archaeon. Its description in RNAcentral is "bacterial SSU rRNA". It matches the Rfam family "Archaeal small subunit ribosomal RNA", at positions 102 to 828 of the family's 1478-position model. The record is from RNAcentral.
GGAUAAUCUACCCUUAGGACCGGGAUAACCCUGGGAAACUGGGGAUAAUACUGGAUAGGCAAUUAUUCCUGUAAUGGUUUUUUGUUUAAAUGUUUUUUCGCCUAAGGAUGAGUCUGCGGCCGAUUAGGUAGUUGGUUAGGUAAUGGCUUACCAAGCCGUUGAUCGGUACGGGUUGUGAGAGCAAGAGCCCGGAGAUGGAACCUGAGACAAGGUUCCAGGCCCUACGGGGUGCAGCAGGCGCGAAACCUCCGCAAUGUGAGAAAUCGCGACGGGGGGAUCCCAAGUGCCAUUCUUAACGGGAUGGCUUUUCAUUAGUGUAAAGAGCUUUUGGAAUAAGAGCUGGGCAAGACCGGUGCCAGCCGCCGCGGUAACACCGGCAGCUCUAGUGGUAACAAUUUUUAUUGGGCCUAAAGCGUCCGUAGCCGGUUUAAUAAGUCUCUGGUGAAAUCCUGCAGCUUAACUGUGGGAAUUGCUGGAGAUACUAUUAGACUUGAGACCGGGAGAGGUUAGAGGUACUCCCAGGGUAGAGGUGAAAUUCUGUAAUCCUGGGAGGACCGCCUGUUGCGAAGGCGUCUAACUGGAACGGUUCUGACGGUGAGGGACGAAAGUUAGGGGCGCGAACCGGAUUAGAUACCCGGGUAGUCCUAACUGUAAACGAUGCGGACUUGGUGUUGGGGUGGCUUUGAGCUGCUUCAGUGCCGAAGGGAAGCUGUUAAGUCCGCCGCC